Molecule: RNase P RNA, 374 nt
Filed under: Bacteroidales bacterium
Lineage: Bacteria; Pseudomonadati; Bacteroidota; Bacteroidia; Bacteroidales
Description: RNase P RNA component class A
Rfam family: Bacterial RNase P class A
About the family: Ribonuclease P (RNase P) is a ubiquitous endoribonuclease, found in archaea, bacteria and eukarya as well as chloroplasts and mitochondria.
Source: RNAcentral
GCAGUCGGACGGUUUGUCGCUGGCGAUUCCUUAGGAAUUGAAAGAGGAAAGUCCGGGCAGCAUAGGGCAUUCCACUUCCGAAAAUAGAAGCAGUCCGUGAGGGUUGAGUAAUGCAGAAGAAAAAAACAACGAUGGAGGCUCGCCUCUGUCGAAAUGGUGAGAAGGUGAGGUAAGAGCUCACCAGCAGUAUGGUGACAUGCUGGCUGUGCAUCUUGGAAGCUGCAAGUUCAUGUAAACUACCGCCAUCAGGGUAGCCCGCCCAAUUGUUCGGUAGAGGGUAGAACGCUUGAGCCAUGAGGUGACUCAUGGAGUAGAUAAAUGACAGACACGCCCUUCAGGGCGGACAGAACCCGGCUUAUAGACCGACUGCUUUC